RNAcentral lists this long non-coding RNA (1287 nucleotides) under Salmo salar (Atlantic salmon). RNAcentral's name for it is "lncRNA (ENSSSAG00000098825.1)". The record is from RNAcentral. Lineage: Eukaryota; Metazoa; Chordata; Actinopteri; Salmoniformes; Salmonidae.
GCCAGCUCAGCGCGUCUGGUCUCCAGUGCGCCUCCUCGGUCCAGGUUAUCCUGCGCCGGCGUUGCGCACUGUGUCUCCAGAGCGCUGGGAGGGUCCAGUUCGCCCAAUACCUGCUCUCCGCCCGUGCCGGGCCAAAGUGGGUAUUCAGCCUGGAGUGUGGGUAAAGAGUGUCCGUACCAGAACUCCAGUGCUCCCCCACAGCCCGGUUUAUCCUGUGCCUCCUCCUCGGACCAGGCCUCCAGUGGGUCUCCCCAUCCUGGUCCAUCCUGUGCCACCUCCCAGGACUAGGCCUCCAGUGGGUCUCCCCAUCCUGGUCGGUCCUGUGCCACCUCCCAGGAAUAGGCCUCCAGUGGGUCUCCCCAUCCUGGUCCGUCCUGUGCCACCUCCCAGGACUAGGCCUCCAGUGGGUCUCACCUGUCCAGAGCUGCCCGCCAGUCAACAGUCAUCAGAGCUGCCCGCCAGUCAACAGUCGUCAGAGCUGCCCGCCAGUCAACAGUCGUCAGAGAGGCCAGACUGCGCUGAACUGCCGGAGUGGCCAGACUGCCCUGAACUGCCAGAGUGGCCAGGGACGCCCGCCAGCCCGGUACAUAGGUUCCACAAGGUAGGAGUGUACCCCCUGCUACACUUUGUCGUCGACUGCACUGUGUCCUCACAGUGGUAUGACGAGUCAGACCUCAAUGGCAACAAUCCAAAGGUUGUAUGAGGCAAUUGUGAAAGUGGCAAUCAACACCCAUACCCCCACACUACAACCCUCCAACCCUCCUCAACCAGGUUGAACUCCCAAUAUCCCCCACCACUCAGGAGCCCAGCUACACCCCCAUCCUCAACCAGGUUGAACCCCCGAUAUCCCCCACCACUCAGGAGACCAGCUACACCCCCAUCCUCAACCAGGUUGAACCCCCAAUAUCCCCCACCACUCAGGAGACCAGCUACACCCACACCAAACCAAAGAAGACGGAGAGAAAGUCCUGUCACCCUCAAAAAACCCUCCAACUCACUGAGCAUGACAGUCAACCCCAUCCAAUCCUAUCCAACCCCAUCCAACCCCAUCCUACCCCAUCCAACCCCAUCCUACCUACCAACCCCAUCCAAUCCUAUCCAACCCCAUCCAACCCCAUCCUACCCCAUCCAACCCCAUCCUACCUACCAACCCCAUCCAACCCCAUCCCAUCCUACCCCAUCCAACCCCAUCAUACCUACCAACCCCAUCCUACCCCACCCCAUCCCAUCCUACCCUAUCCUACCCCAUCCAACCCCAUCCAACCCCAUCCUAAUCCUACCCACACC